This 582-nucleotide ribosomal RNA is filed under the name uncultured Arthrobacter sp. Its description in RNAcentral is "bacterial SSU rRNA". It matches the Rfam family "Bacterial small subunit ribosomal RNA", at positions 790 to 1368 of the family's 1533-position model. Lineage: Bacteria; Bacillati; Actinomycetota; Actinomycetes; Micrococcales; Micrococcaceae. The record is from RNAcentral.
GUAGUCCAUGCCGUAACGUUGGCCACUAGGUGUGGGGGGACAUUCCACGUUUUCCGCGCCGUAGCUAACGCAUUAAGUGCCCCCGCCUGGGGAGUACGGCCGCAAGGCUAAAACUCAAAGGAAUUGACGGGGGCCCGCACAAGCGGCGGAGCAUGCGGAUUAAUUCGAUGCAACGCGAAGAACCUUACCAAGGCUUGACAUGAACCGGAAACGCCUGGAAACAGGUGCCCCGCUUGCGGUCGGUUUACAGGUGGUGCAUGGUUGUCGUCAGCUCGUGUCGUGAGAUGUUGGGUUAAGUCCCGCAACGAGCGCAACCCUCGUUCUAUGUUGCCAGCACGUAAUGGUGGGAACUCAUGGGAUACUGCCGGGGUCAACUCGGAGGAAGGUGGGGACGACGUCAAAUCAUCAUGCCCCUUAUGUCUUGGGCUUCACGCAUGCUACAAUGGCCAGUACAAAGGGCUGCAAUACCGUAAGGUGGAGCGAAUCCCAAAAAGCUGGUCCCAGUUCGGAUUGAGGUCUGCAACUCGACCUCAUGAAGUCGGAGUUGCUAGUAAUCGCAGAUCAGCAACGCUGCGGUGAAUA